CCUACGGAAGGCAGCAGUGGGGAAUAUUGGACAAUGGGGGCAACCCUGAUCCAGCGACGCCGCGUGAGUGAAGAAGUAUUACGGUACGUAAAGCUCUAUCAGCCGGGAAGCAAAUGACGGUACCUGACUAAGAAUCCCCGGCUAACUACGUGCAAGCAGCCGCGGUCAUGCGUCGGGGUGCAGCGUUAUGCGGGUGUACUGGGUGUAAAAGGAGCGUAGACGGGAGCGCAAGGCUGGAGUGAAAUGCGGGGUGCCAACCGCGGAACUGCUCUGGAAACUGUCAUGCUGGAGUGCAGGAGAGGUAAGCGGAAUGCGUGGUGUAGCGGUGAAAUGCGUAGAUAUCAGGAGGAACACCGGCGGCGAAGGCGGCUUACUGGAGCGCAACUGACGUUGAGGCUCGAAGGCGUGGGGAGCGAACAGGAUUAGAUACCCCUGUAGUC
Molecule: ribosomal RNA, 440 nt
Filed under: uncultured bacterium
Lineage: Bacteria
Description: partial 16S ribosomal RNA
Rfam family: Bacterial small subunit ribosomal RNA
Source: RNAcentral